This 70-nucleotide transfer RNA is filed under the name Dipodomys ordii (Ord's kangaroo rat). It matches the Rfam family "tRNA". From Rfam's summary of the family: Transfer RNA (tRNA) molecules are approximately 80 nucleotides in length. Their secondary structure includes four short double-helical elements and three loops (D, anti-codon, and T loops). Lineage: Eukaryota; Metazoa; Chordata; Mammalia; Rodentia; Heteromyidae. The record is from Rfam by way of RNAcentral.
GGGAAUGUGGCUUAGUGGUAGAGUACUUGCCUAGCAUGCACAAAGCCAUGGGUUCGAUUCCUCAGUACCA